This 253-nucleotide ribosomal RNA is filed under the name uncultured bacterium. RNAcentral's name for it is "partial 16S ribosomal RNA". It matches the Rfam family "Bacterial small subunit ribosomal RNA", at positions 524 to 776 of the family's 1533-position model. The record is from RNAcentral.
UACGUAGGGUGCGAGCGUUAAUCGGAAUUACUGGGCGUAAAGCGUGCGCAGGCGGUGAUGUAAGACCGAUGUGAAAUCCCCGGGCUUAACCUGGGAACUGCAUUGGUGACUGCAUCGCUCGAGUAUGGCAGAGGGGGGUAGAAUUCCACGUGUAGCAGUGAAAUGCGUAGAGAUGUGGAGGAAUACCGAUGGCGAAGGCAGCCCCCUGGGAUAACACUGACGCUCAUGCACGAAAGCGUGGGGAGCAAACAGG